Molecule: ribosomal RNA, 426 nt
Filed under: Agononida prolixa
Lineage: Eukaryota; Metazoa; Arthropoda; Malacostraca; Decapoda; Munididae
Description: partial large subunit ribosomal RNA
Source: RNAcentral
AGAGAUUUGAAAGGCCGCGGUAUAUUAACUGUGCAAAGGCAUAAUCAUCUUUUUAAUUGAAGGCUUGUAUGAAGGGUUGGACAAAGAAAAGACUGUCUCUCUUUUAUUUGAAGUCUUUUAAAUGAAAAGGCUAUAUAUUUAGGGGACGAUAAGACCCUAAUCUUUAUAUUAUAUUAUUUUUUUAAUUAUUUUGUCAAUAUUAAAAAUGAGAAAUAUUUUGUUGGGGUGGCGAGAAUAUUUCUGCUCUUAAUUGAAACAAAGGUGUUUGUUAGGGUUAAUAGAUCCUUUAUAGAGAUUCAGAGUUUAAGUUACUUUAGGGAUAACAGCGUUAUUUUUUUUGAGAGUCCAUACCGAAGAGAAAGUUGGCGACCUCGAUGUUGAAUUAAGAUUUCUCCUGUGGGGCAGAAGUUACAGGAGGAAAGUCUG